Molecule: ribosomal RNA, 465 nt
Filed under: uncultured bacterium
Lineage: Bacteria
Description: partial 16S ribosomal RNA
Rfam family: Bacterial small subunit ribosomal RNA
Source: RNAcentral
GACGAACGCUGGCGGCGUGCUUAACACAUGCAAGUCGAACGGAAAGGCCCUGCUUGCAGGGUACUCGAGUGGCGAACGGGUGAGUAACACGUGGGUGAUCUGCCCUGCACUUCGGGAUAAGCCUGGGAAACUGGGUCUAAUACCGGAUAGGAGCCAUUUUUAGUGUGAUGGUUGGAAAGUUUUUUCGGUGUAGGAUGGGCUCGCGGCCUAUCAGCUUGUUGGUGGGGUAAUGGCCUACCAAGGCGGCGACGGGUAGCCGGCCUGAGAGGGUGGACGGCCACAUUGGGACUGAGAUACGGCCCAGACUCCUACGGGAGGCAGCAGUGGGGAAUAUUGCACAGUGGGCGCAAGCCUGAUGCAGCGACGCCGCGUGGGGGAUGACGGCCUUCGGGUUGUAAACUCCUUUCGCUAGGGACGAAGCUUUUUGUGACGGUACCUAGAUAAGAAGCACCGGCUAACUACGUG